UAACGACAAAGGCAAACCCGGCGAAAGCCGGCGACGCAAAGCUAUGGGUCUAAGGGCUGUAUGCCUAUGACUGCCAGGCCGCCGAA
This 86-nucleotide non-coding RNA is filed under the name Bellilinea caldifistulae. RNAcentral describes it as "c-di-GMP sequence". It matches the Rfam family "c-di-GMP-I riboswitch aptamer". From Rfam's summary of the family: GEMM was predicted in a large-scale screen for bacterial structured RNA regulatory elements. Genes associated with GEMM are involved in a diverse array of functions, including chemotaxis regulation, signal transduction, secretion and chitin. Lineage: Bacteria; Bacillati; Chloroflexota; Anaerolineae; Anaerolineales; Anaerolineaceae. The record is from Rfam by way of RNAcentral.